Molecule: Y RNA, 112 nt
Filed under: Microcebus murinus (gray mouse lemur)
Lineage: Eukaryota; Metazoa; Chordata; Mammalia; Primates; Cheirogaleidae
Description: Y RNA (ENSMICG00000046799.1)
Rfam family: Y RNA
About the family: Y RNAs are components of the Ro ribonucleoprotein particle (Ro RNP), in association with Ro60 and La proteins. The Y RNAs and Ro60 and La proteins are well conserved, but the function of the Ro RNP is not known.
Source: Rfam by way of RNAcentral
GGCUGGUCUGAAGUAGUAAAUUAUCUCACUUGAUUGUUCACAGUUUCUUACAGGUUGAACUCCUUGUUCUACUACUUUCCACCUUCUCACUGCUGCACUUGACUUGUCAAAA